GACGAACCGUGCGAACGUUAUUCGGAAUCACUGGGCUUAAAGCGCGUGUAGGCGGGCCGCCGCGUCGGCUGCUGAAAUCCCCCGGCUCAACCGGGGAAGGGGCACCGAUACGGGCGGCCUGGAGGGGGGUAGGGGGGUCUGGAACUUCCGGUGGAGCGGUGAAAUGCGUUGAGAUCGGAAGGAACGCCCGUGGCGAAAGCGAGGCCCUGGACCCUUUCUGACGCUGAGACGCGAAAGCCAGGGGAGCGAACGGG
Molecule: ribosomal RNA, 254 nt
Filed under: uncultured bacterium
Lineage: Bacteria
Description: partial 16S ribosomal RNA
Rfam family: Bacterial small subunit ribosomal RNA
Source: RNAcentral